RNAcentral lists this long non-coding RNA (858 nucleotides) under Heterocephalus glaber (naked mole-rat). RNAcentral describes it as "lncRNA (ENSHGLG00000028554.2)". Lineage: Eukaryota; Metazoa; Chordata; Mammalia; Rodentia; Bathyergidae. The record is from RNAcentral.
CAAACAGAGUGCUCUAGGAGCUGAGGGGAGGGCUGAAGGGCAGAGAGCAAGCAAGACAGCAGGCCUCCUUGUUACGGUUAGCAGACUCAUGAUAACGCCAGCGUGGACGCCAGCUGCUCUCUGGGCUGUGGAAUUCCAAGGCUUGGCACAGCACUGGCUUGCAGCUUCUCACCUGAGCAGGAGAUAACAGGGAGCUUGGACAAUAGUAGCUCCAGGCCCAGCGCAAACCCUUUUGGGGAGCCACAGAGCCCCAGGAGGAGAACAGAGCGGUGCUGCCUCCAGGCCUAAGCUGCCCAUGUUGAGAGGCUGUGCUUCUCCUUCGUGCUGCCGCCUGGAGACUGAUCCCCGGAGCUGCCCACCCUGCCCCUCUCCUUCCCACACCGCCCUGUGGCCAGCCUACUUCCUGCAUUUCCAUUUAACCAAGGAAACCCUUUAAAGAAGAGAGGAUCAGCCUGAUGCCAUGGCAUGAAGUCCUCCCACCCGCAGCUCUGCUCCUGGUAUUUCAGUUACAGCCUUUGAAAGAAGAAAUGUGACUUAACUUUUCAUAGAAUACUCCAAGGAGCAAUAUAAGCAUGCAAGUUCAUUGAUCUGGCUUGUUCAAGCUAAUUAAGUGGCCACUCAUUUCAACUAAGAUUGGGAUCUUUGGAGGAGAAAACACAUUUUGGUUUUAAUUUAGAAAUCUUUGCCUGCCUCAUUGGGCACUUGUGAGACUCACUCUCACAUUUAUUUCUCAAAUGCCCAAUCCCAAAUUCUUUUUUUUUUCCUUUUGGUGCCAGGGAUUAAACUCGGGACCUUGUGCUUGCCAGGCAGGGUGGUCCCAUUAAGCUAAAUCCCCGGCCCUUUUUUUUUUUUUUUUUG